This 64-nucleotide transfer RNA is filed under the name Heliobolus bivari (Bivar's bushveld lizard). RNAcentral describes it as "tRNA-Ser". Lineage: Eukaryota; Metazoa; Chordata; Lepidosauria; Squamata; Lacertidae. The record is from RNAcentral.
GAGGUGUAUUAACAUAUAGAUCUGCUAAAUCUUGCAACUGAAGCUAAAAACUUCAGACCUCUUA